CGACGAGUCUGUCAGCUGGCCAAGAAAGCCCGCAAACUGCUCCAAUUGAAAGCUUGUAGACCUGGAAGCCGAAAUUAUUAUUUUUUAGCCGAGGAAUGCUGCCAAUUCAUAUUUAGAUAACCCUGCCAGGUGAGAUAACACGUGGUUGUAAUUUUAUAGUUUUAGCAUUACGCAAUGAAAAGCUAUAGGGUUGUUGCAUUUCAUAAGUUUAUGUGGUAGUAGUGAUAUUAUUAAAAAAAAUUACUAUUAUCAAUAUGUCAAUUCAGUUAAUAAAUCUUUUUUUUUGAACAAAUGGGUCUUCCUUCCCUACUAUAGAGAACAUGUUUGUACAUUGUAAAUGGGAAGAUAUCUUGUUUCCCUUUAUAUAUUCUUUGUUCCAUUUCUUCUCAGUAAUUUAUUCUUGUGUAAAAUAACCGCUUUAGGAAACAAGAGAUUAGAAGAUGAUUUGAGAGUGAAGUUGAGGAAUGAUGGGGACAAUCCUUUGUUAGAAAAGUUUGACACAGCUGUUGAAGAGGGGGAUGGCUAUAAAAGAGAAUAGUGUGCAUAUAUUAGUAUUUUAUGUUGAAGAUUAGGAGUUUCUUGAUGGUAAAGUCUUUUGAGGGUAUAAUUGGUAGCUAGAAAGCAUAAAAUUUCCUUUUGAAAAUUUGGCAGGUAAAUAAAUAAAUGUUCCCUUUCUUUCGGCAAUAAAUUUCUUAUUGAUGGAUGUCAUCCUUUCCUUUAUUAACUGGCAUAAAAACUUUAGUUUCUCUGGACCUUCCUUUUCUCAUUUAGAGAUUCACAGAACACAGUAUAAUGUCUUUUUGUUACUUAGGUCAGAGCUAUUUUUUGUAAAGUACUUUGUUUUCUAUCCUUUUCCAUGUUUUGAUACGGAAGAAGGAAAGUCUAGUUAUCUAAUUGACUCUGAGGACUGGAAUUUAGUGAGGCCAGUUUUGUAGUUGAAGCUAUUCCAAGGAAGUAACCAGAAGAAUCUACUUUGCUUUAUAGAUAUUUUAAUGUUGAAAUUUCUUUACAGCAAUCCCAAAUUAUAUAGCUAGUCUAUGUGCUCUGAUUUAAUAAUUAAUCUAAGGCAUAUUAUAUCAACAAAUGAUCCCUCUGAAAAAUCGACCAUAUAGAUAUAAAAUUACAUAUAUUGAUGUCUUACUCAGAUAACAUGUUUUUAUCUGCAACAUGUAGUCAUCUGGAUUUAUCAAAAUAUUCACUUUUUAAAUGUUGCGUUGCGUGCACUCAAGCUCAACAAGGACAAUAUUUUCGAGUUCAGCACGUUUGCAUGGCUGCUUCCUUCAUUCUGCUAAAUCUUUUGGCUUCUGCGAUUAGAGGUAGAAACAACAUAUCAAUUACCAAGUUAUUGUUUCGUGUCAGUUACACCUUACAAAUGUAGUAGAGGCUUCUAAAUUGCAAUAGUAUAUAUUUAACUCUUGUAUAUGUCUAUUAUAUGUGUGAAAUGGUGGCUAUGAAACAAUAAUUAUAGGUAGUAUGUUAUUGGUGUAUUAUCGAGCAAUUGUGGUGCUUGUGGGUUGGGACUCUAACGCAGCCUUGACAGUUGACAUAGGCUCUUGACACAAACUUCAUUAGCAUGUCAAGUAAUAUCAGUAACUAAUCAAUUAAAUCUCUUAUAUUUUUGCGCA
This is a long non-coding RNA of Cicer arietinum (chickpea), 1625 nucleotides long. RefSeq lists it as uncharacterized. The record is from RefSeq and is a predicted model, not a curated record. NCBI's taxonomy places the organism in Eukaryota, Viridiplantae, Streptophyta, Magnoliopsida, Fabales, Fabaceae.